This is a long non-coding RNA of Glossina fuscipes, 1627 nucleotides long. RefSeq lists it as uncharacterized. The transcript has 2 exons. The record is from RefSeq and is a predicted model, not a curated record. Lineage: Eukaryota; Metazoa; Arthropoda; Insecta; Diptera; Glossinidae.
GAAUGUAAGUUUUAAUGAAUAAAGAGCAUGUGUGGCGCGUAUUGAUUCUACUCACGUAAACGUAAAAUCUCCUAAUGAAAACGGGGAAAAUUCAAGCUGUUAUUUAGUAUAAAUCAUAUAGAUUGCCUAGAAAUCUUCAACUUCGACUGUAGCCAUUAUAUUUUGAUCUUCAUACAACGUUUCAUCUAGCGGCCAUGUCCGAAGUACAAGACAACCAUUUCUGUAGCAAUUGAAGCUUUUUCCAACUUGAUAUCAUGUAAUUCCGUUAUCUCUUUUGCUAAUGUACUUAUAUCCAAUUUACCUCCUUCAGUAUAAUUUCGUGAUGAUACGAUGUAUUGCCGUCAUGUCUUCAAAAACUUUCGUGACGAGGAAUCCUCUCUUUUUGGAGGUGGCAAUGUUCGUCCUUACUUCCCGGACAAGAACCCUUAUGUUUCCUCCUUUCACUAUUUUUUUUCCUGACAAUAAAUGUUGGGUUAAGAUGGACGAAGCCAAUUAUUGGCAAGAAAUAUUUAUAAAAAGCAAAAAGACUGCGGCCAUAUGUUAAGAUCGUUGAGCUGUUCAAAGUGAUGUGAGAAAAGUGUUGUGGACUUUGUCUGAAAAAAGUAUGAUUUAUAGAAAUACCGUGACUUAAAAAGAUAAACUCGCUUUUCUCAUAAAGCAACUUAGUUCUCCGAGGUGUCGCACUUUUUUCGCUAAAGAGAUCGAGAAAGCCCCCAUAUAAUUUGAAAACGCCAGAGGAACUUUUAACACUAUUAAGUCUGUGAUAUCUGAAAAUUAGAUAUAUUAUAAGCCUCACAAACAUCACAUGGUACAGUAGGAAUCAUAUUAAAAUGUACUUUAUCAUAACCGUGGCCACUUAUGACUCUAUAAAGAAUGUUGGUUUCCUAGGAAUUAAAGCCAGCCCCUUAUAGGUUAAAUGCGGGAUUUAUUUUAUAGAAAAGGCGAUUGGAUUUGGCGCCCGCAAUCCCUUUAAUUCAUCAUUUAGUUGCUGGAAGAAUCGCCCCUAUUGCUUCAUUGGGAGUAUAUUUUUUUAUUGAACGAAAAUGUACCAUCAAAUUGAGCCUUCCUUGAAAACGAGUUUUUCAUUUACAAAAAAGUCCCAGCUAUCAGGUGUCCAAACAAGGUGACAGUCAUACACAUGAGAUUCAUAUGAUGUUCUGUUCGUAACAAAUACAUACUGAUUAUUUGCAUAUCAUUUAUUUAUUAGAAGCAGAGAUGGCUUACCAUCAGAAAAAACGAUACAUUUUUUGUGGCCUUCCAUUGUAGCUACAUUAACGGCAUGUCUGAUGGCAAGCAAUUCAAUAAAAGUCGAGAAAGUCUCUCCGUGAUUCCGAUUUUGUACGCUUUUUUAAAUAUACGCUUCACUGCCGGGAAGUUAGAUCCCUUAUGUCUAGCGGAAACGUCAGUUGCACAUAUAUCAUAGAUGUUGUUGUAAUAAAGAAAAAGAUUUUCUUGACAAAAGAACCUCGUAUUCUUCCUCUAUAGAUCCUCAUUGCCUCUUAGUAGAGAUCGGUUCAAGGAUGUUCUGAAAGACACUAUAUUUUUUAGUAACAAAAUUCCAGAGACGGAUUGAAUUUAUCUCGUCAAAAAUAUGACGGAGUUCUUGAUAACAAAGAUGUAGCUGAAA